RNAcentral lists this ribosomal RNA (225 nucleotides) under uncultured bacterium. RNAcentral describes it as "partial 16S ribosomal RNA". It matches the Rfam family "Bacterial small subunit ribosomal RNA", at positions 109 to 334 of the family's 1533-position model. The record is from RNAcentral.
AGUAACGCGUGGGUAACCUGCCUUAUACAGGGGGAUAACAGUCAGAAAUGGCUGCUAAUACCGCAUAAGCGCACAGAGCUGCAUGGCUCGGUGUGAAAAACUCCGGUGGUAUAAGAUGGACCCGCGUUGGAUUAGCUUGUUGGUGGGGUAACGGCCCACCAAGGCGACGAUCCAUAGCCGGCCUGAGAGGGUGAACGGCCACAUUGGGACUGAGACACGGCCCAG